RNAcentral lists this ribosomal RNA (401 nucleotides) under uncultured bacterium. RNAcentral describes it as "bacterial SSU rRNA". It matches the Rfam family "Bacterial small subunit ribosomal RNA", at positions 356 to 774 of the family's 1533-position model. The record is from RNAcentral.
CGGGAAUUUUGGGCAAUGGGCGAAAGCCUGACCCAGCAACGCCGCGUGAGGGAUGAAGUAUUUCGGUAUGUAAACCUCGAAAGAAUGGGAAGAAUAAAUGACGGUACCAUUUAUAAGCUCCGGCUAACUACGUGCCAGCAGCCGCGGUAAUACGUAGGGAGCAAGCGUUGUUCGGGUUUACUGGGCGUAAAGGGCGCGUAGGCGGCGCGGUAAGUCACUUGUGAAAUCUCUGAGCUUAACUCAGAACGGCCAAGUGAUACUGCUGUGCUAGAGUGCGGAAGAGGCAACCGGAAUUCUUGGUGUAGCGGUGAAAUGCGUAGAUAUCAAGAGGAACACCUGAGGCGAAGGCGGGUUGCUGGGCCGACACUGACGCUGAUGCGCGAAAGCCAGGGGAGCAAACG